This is a long non-coding RNA of Phymastichus coffea, 160 nucleotides long. RefSeq lists it as uncharacterized. The record is from RefSeq and is a predicted model, not a curated record. Lineage: Eukaryota; Metazoa; Arthropoda; Insecta; Hymenoptera; Eulophidae. The transcript has 3 exons.
CGAAGGUCUGCUCCGUCGGAACAGUAAUAGUGGUGGAGUUGGUGUGCCACGAGUUGUACGCACGGUUUUUCUCGAGGGCAACAUAAUAUGGAUACCGAAAAGUCGAAGGAUGAUAAUCCAGAGCAAGUUACGACGCCCACGGCACUUGCCCCCGCAGACA